UAGAUUACAGAUUCUAACAGGUGGAAUUGUUGCAAUGAUGUCUACAAACAGAUGAUCUGCUUGGAUGAGCUAUCAAGCAUUUAACGAUGAUUUAAGCCCAGGCUGGGAACUGUGAUUAGGGUGUGGGUGAGAUGCUGGAAUAGCUCUGAGGACCACCACACCUGCCUUUUGGCCGAGACCACGCAUGCUGCUAUUGGAGAUGACACGACCCUUGUGGGUUUUGCCUGUGUGUUCUUCUGCGUGAUGAGCUGGGUUUGUACCUACCAAAACACAGCAAACUCCUUGCUCCCUGCUGAGAGAUGCUGUGGCUGCCACCCAGGACUGAAGCUGAGAUGUGCUGUGCAGGCAGCUCAGAUGGCCAACAUACCUGGUUUGGUAGAGAAACAAAGGGCUGAAGAAGGGAAAAGGGUAUCGGAGCUGUCACUGAAACCUGCAUUUUGA
This 441-nucleotide long non-coding RNA is filed under the name Anas platyrhynchos platyrhynchos (common mallard). RNAcentral describes it as "lncRNA (ENSAPLG00000029508.1)". Lineage: Eukaryota; Metazoa; Chordata; Aves; Anseriformes; Anatidae. The record is from RNAcentral.